UCGCCUGUUUAUCAAAAACAUGUCCUUUUGUUUGUAAAUAUAAGGUCUAGCCUGCCCAAUGAUUAAUUUAAUGGCCGCGGUAUAUUAACUGUGCKAAGGUAGCAUAAUCAUUUGUCUUUUAAUUGAAGGCUAGAAUGAAUGGCUGGACGAAACAUAAACUUUCUUUAAUUUAAUAUUAGAAUUUAAUUUUUUAGUUAAAAAGCUAAAAUUUAUUUGAGGGACGAGAAGACCCUAUAGAUCUUUAUAUAUUUAUUAUAUUAUAUAUUUUAGUAUAUUUAUUACUUAUAAUAAGUGAAUGUAUUUGGUUGGGGCGACUGUAGAAUAUUCAUAACUUCUAUUUAUAUAAAUUCAUUAAUUAUUGUUUAAUUGAUCCAAUUUUAUUGAUUAAAAGAUUAAGUUACCUUAGGGAUAACAGCGUAAUUUUUUCGGAGAGUUCUUAUCGAUGAUAAAGCUUGC
This 456-nucleotide ribosomal RNA is filed under the name Endochus sp. 00004657. RNAcentral describes it as "partial 16S ribosomal RNA". It matches the Rfam family "Bacterial large subunit ribosomal RNA", at positions 1796 to 2521 of the family's 2925-position model. The record is from RNAcentral. Lineage: Eukaryota; Metazoa; Arthropoda; Insecta; Hemiptera; Reduviidae.